This 468-nucleotide ribosomal RNA is filed under the name uncultured bacterium. Its description in RNAcentral is "bacterial SSU rRNA". It matches the Rfam family "Bacterial small subunit ribosomal RNA", at positions 331 to 795 of the family's 1533-position model. The record is from RNAcentral.
CCAGACUCCUACGGGAGGCAGCAGUGAGGAAUAUUGGUCAAUGGGCGGAAGCCUGAACCAGCCAAGUCGCGUGAGGGAAUAAGGCCCUACGGGUCGUAAACCUCUUUUGCCGGGGAGCAAGGCCGCCGACGUGUCGGCGGAAGGAGAGUACCCGUAGAACAAGCAUCGGCUAACUCCGUGCCAGCAGCCGCGGUAAUACGGAGGAUCCGAGCGUUAUCCGGAUUUAUUGGGUUUAAAGGGAGCGUAGAUGGGUUGUUAAGUCAGUUGUGAAAGUUUGCGGCUCAACCGUAAAAUUGCAAUUGAUACUGGCAGUCUUGAGUACAGUUGAGGUAGGCGGAAUUCGUGGUGUAGCGGUGAAAUGCUUAGAUAUCACGAAGAACUCCGAUUGCGAAGGCAGCUUACUAAACUGCCACUGACAUUGAUGCUCGAAAGUGUGGGUAUCAAACAGGAUUAGAUACCCCAGUACAC